Molecule: ribosomal RNA, 253 nt
Filed under: uncultured bacterium
Lineage: Bacteria
Description: partial 16S ribosomal RNA
Rfam family: Bacterial small subunit ribosomal RNA
Source: RNAcentral
UACGUAGGGGGCAAGCGUUGUCCGGAUUUAUUGGGCGUAAAGAGCGUGUAGGCGGUUAGGUAGGUCCGUUGUGAAAACUCGAGGCUCAACCUCGAGACGCCGAUGGAAACCAUCUAACUAGAGUCCGGAAGAGGAGAGUGGAAUUCCUGGUGUAGCGGUGAAAUGCGCAGAUAUCAGGAAGAACACCCGUGGCUAAGGCGGCUCUCUAGUACGGUACUGACGCUGAGACGCGAAAGCGUGGGGAACGAACAGG